Molecule: non-coding RNA, 439 nt
Organism: Aurantimonas manganoxydans SI85-9A1
Lineage: Bacteria; Pseudomonadati; Pseudomonadota; Alphaproteobacteria; Hyphomicrobiales; Aurantimonadaceae
Rfam family: Bacterial RNase P class A
About the family: Ribonuclease P (RNase P) is a ubiquitous endoribonuclease, found in archaea, bacteria and eukarya as well as chloroplasts and mitochondria. Its best characterised activity is the generation of mature 5'-ends of tRNAs by cleaving the 5'-leader elements of precursor-tRNAs.
Source: Rfam
CCAGCCGGCUGGACGGCCGCUCCCGUCACAUGUCGAAAGACGGCGGGGGAGGAAAGUCCGGGCUCCACGGAGAAACGGUGCCGGAUAACGUCCGGCGGGAGUGAUCCCAGGGAAAGUGCCACAGAAAACAGACCGCCCCGCCUGCAGUGCGGCUCGCGCGACGAAGCGCGACGGAGCCGCAGUGCUGGCGGGGUAAGGGUGAAACGGUGGGGUAAGAGCCCACCGCGUCUCUGGCAACAGCGACGGCACGGCAAACCCCACCGGGAGCAAGACCGAAUAGGAACGACGCGGUCGGUCCGUCGCAAGACGGGUCGCCAGCCCUCUCCGGGCCGGUCGUUCGGGUAGGUUGCUAGAGGCGGCCCGCAAGGGUCGUCCCAGAGGAAUGGUCGUCCGGCGGUCAAUCCGCUGACAGAACCCGGCUUACAGGCCGGCUGGCACU